GGAAGAUCGUCCCCAAGAUCUCGAACCAGAUCGUCGGGAUCAAGAACCUGAAGAAGCAGACGGAAGAGGACGAUGACGUGGCAGACGUGUUUAAGAGUAUGGUCUGAGGAGGGAGGUGGGUAGAGAGGGGGAGAGGCAGCAAUAUUCUUACC
This 152-nucleotide ribosomal RNA is filed under the name Guillardia theta. RNAcentral's name for it is "partial Archaeal small subunit ribosomal RNA". Lineage: Eukaryota; Cryptophyceae; Pyrenomonadales; Geminigeraceae. The record is from RNAcentral.